This 212-nucleotide long non-coding RNA is filed under the name Musa acuminata (dwarf banana). RNAcentral describes it as "long non-coding RNA (MACU_LNC005609)". Lineage: Eukaryota; Viridiplantae; Streptophyta; Magnoliopsida; Zingiberales; Musaceae. The record is from RNAcentral.
GGCCUAAUCACAUUAGGUUGUGGUCCAUGAUCAUCUGGUGUGAUUGCUUAUACACAUACUAGAUAUGUAUAUAUAUUUGCAUGCGAUGUAGAUAUAUAUUAAAUAUGUAUAUGUGUGAUAUGUCAUAUUAGGAGACCAAAUCUUAGAAACAUCUCUCGAUAAUAUUAAGUCGGUAAACGUGAGGCAAUUAGAUUGACCCACGUGGCCUUCCA